Molecule: long non-coding RNA, 330 nt
Filed under: Trifolium pratense (red clover)
Lineage: Eukaryota; Viridiplantae; Streptophyta; Magnoliopsida; Fabales; Fabaceae
Description: long non-coding RNA (TPRA_LNC001625)
Source: RNAcentral
UUUGUUAUUUAUUUUUGUAUAUGGUUUGAUUGUUGCGAUGGAAGUAAUAAGGUUGCAGGAAGGUCUUGCAAGUUGCAAUGGUGAGGGAGACAUGUUUAUUAUUUAGUGUGGGAGGGUGUAUGAUAAUCAUAUAUAGUCAAUUUUUAUCAACGGUAGAUGAUGGAUAUGACAAGGGACAAAUUUGAAAUGUUAGCCACGUGGCAUUUUUAAACGGAGUUAACUUGUAAUUUAACAGAAAGGACCAACUAAUGGUAACGGAGGAAACGUAAGGGACCAAAUUGACACGUUUUAAACGUAAGGGACCAAAUUGAAACCUAAAAUAAACGUAAG